RNAcentral lists this ribosomal RNA (465 nucleotides) under Vreelandella stevensii. Its description in RNAcentral is "partial 16S ribosomal RNA". It matches the Rfam family "Bacterial small subunit ribosomal RNA", at positions 338 to 795 of the family's 1533-position model. Lineage: Bacteria; Pseudomonadati; Pseudomonadota; Gammaproteobacteria; Oceanospirillales; Halomonadaceae. The record is from RNAcentral.
CCUACGGGGUGCUGCAGUGGGGAAUAUUGGACAAUGGGCGAAAGCCUGAUCCAGCCAUGCCGCGUGUGUGAAGAAGGCCUUCGGGUUGUAAAGCACUUUCAGUGGGGAAGAAAGCCUUGGGGCUAAUACCCUCGAGGAAGGACAUCACCCACAGAAGAAGCACCGGCUAACUCCGUGCCAGCAGCCGCGGUAAUACGGAGGGUGCGAGCGUUAAUCGGAAUUACUGGGCGUAAAGCGCGCGUAGGCGGUCUGAUAAGCCGGUUGUGAAAGCCCCGGGCUCAACCUGGGAACGGCAUCCGGAACUGUCAGGCUAGAGUGCAGGAGAGGAAGGUAGAAUUCCCGGUGUAGCGGUGAAAUGCGUAGAGAUCGGGAGGAAUACCAGUGGCGAAGGCGGCCUUCUGGACUGACACUGCCGCUGAGGUGCGAAAGCGUGGGUAGCAAACAGGAUUAGAUACCCUUGUAGUC